RNAcentral lists this ribosomal RNA (778 nucleotides) under uncultured Neocallimastigales. RNAcentral describes it as "partial large subunit ribosomal RNA". It matches the Rfam family "Eukaryotic large subunit ribosomal RNA", at positions 24 to 635 of the family's 3401-position model. Lineage: Eukaryota; Fungi; Neocallimastigomycota; Neocallimastigomycetes; Neocallimastigales. The record is from RNAcentral.
UAUGUGAUCGUCUCUCGCAUAUCAAUAAGCGGAGGAAAAGAAACUAACAAGGAUUCCCCUAGUAACGGCGAGUGAAGCGGGGAAGAGCUCAAAUUUGAAAUCUUAAAGGGUUUCCCUUUACGAAUUGUAGUUUAAAGAAGUGUUUUCUGUUGAGGUUUUGGUAAAAGUUCUUUGGAAUAGGACAUCAUAGAGGGUGAGAAUCCCGUAUUUGACCUUUACUUUCAACUUUGUGAUACACUUUCAAAGAGUCGGAUUGUUUGGGAAUGCAGUCCAAAAUGGGUGGUAAAUUUCAUCUAAAGCUAAAUAUUGGCGAGAGACCGAUAGCGAACAAGUACCGUGAGGGAAAGAUGAAAAAGAACUUUGAAAAGAGAGUUAAACAGUACGUGAAAUUGUCAAAAGGGAAGCGUUUGACACCAGUGUUGUUUUUCUGAAAAUCAAUUAAAGAACUGUUUAUGCUAAGCUGUUUAGACUUUAUCAGCUAAUCUGUUUAGUUUUAGAGCUUUUCUUUAAUGCACUUUUCAGUUAACAAGUCAACAUCAAUUUCUUUUGCUGUAAAAAAGCUUGAGGAAGGUGGCUUGAGAUUCGUCUUAAGUGUUUAUAGCCUCUUGCCUAUGCAGUCGGAGAGAUUGAGGUCUGCAGCGUAGAUCCUUCGGGGCUAAAUGCAUUUGUGCUAAGUUAUAGCAUUUUAUAGACAACUUGUUGACUAUGAUUUGUCUUGUAGCUUACUCGCUUAUGUUAUUUUACCUACGCUUAGGAUGUUGAUCUACAGAGCGAGAGU